UACAGAGGUGGCAAGCGUUGUUCGGAAUUACUGGGCGUAAAGGGCGCGUAGGCGGCCUUCUAAGUCAGACGUGAAAUCCCCCGGCUUAACCUGGGAACUGCGUCUGAUACUGGAAGGCUUGAGUGCGGGAGAGGGAUGUGGAAUUCCAGGUGUAGCGGUGAAAUGCGUAGAUAUCUGGAGGAACACCGGUGGCGAAGGCGGCAUCCUGGACCGACACUGACGCUGAGGCGCGAAAGCGUGGGGAGCAAACAGG
Molecule: ribosomal RNA, 253 nt
Filed under: uncultured bacterium
Lineage: Bacteria
Description: partial 16S ribosomal RNA
Rfam family: Bacterial small subunit ribosomal RNA
Source: RNAcentral